Molecule: long non-coding RNA, 2034 nt
Filed under: Oryctolagus cuniculus (rabbit)
Lineage: Eukaryota; Metazoa; Chordata; Mammalia; Lagomorpha; Leporidae
Description: lncRNA (ENSOCUG00000039045.1)
Source: RNAcentral
UCUCUCUCCCCCUCCUGCCGCCGCCGGUCCCCUCCCCGCGCCGCCGCCGCCGCUCCGCCCCUCCCACCGCGGGCAGCUGGCGCGCCGCCCGCCCCGCCGGUGCGCUCCUCGGCCCGGCCCGCCUCCGGCCGUGCGACCCCGCCCCGGCCCGGCCCCUGCCCCGCGCCGGCCCGCUCGGUUCACCCCGCGCCGCGCUCAGCCCGCUCCUUCCCCAUCAUCCGCGCCCGGCCGCCCCCUCGCCCGGGCCCCUCUUCUUCCCACCUCGCCCCCCUUCCCUCCCUGGCCCUCUUUGUCCCCGCUGCCUCCGAGCGCUCCUCGCUCCCCUCCUUCCCUCGGCCGCUCCGGCCGAACCCGCCGUCAGCCCCGUGCGCGGUGCGCCCCGCGCUCCUCCGCCGCGACCCCUCGCUGCCCUGGGGCCCAACAUCCCCGCGCCUUCAGCUCCCUUCCUGCUGCUCUUUCCAGCUUUUGCCCCUCUUAGGGGCGGGAGGGGGGUUGCCUGUCCCGAGUCCUUCUCCCCUACCCCGUCUUGUCCCCCGAAUGUCACCCAACCCGCAGCCGGGAGCCGGGACCCCUUGUGCACCUGUGGCCUUUUGCAGCUGGGGUGUUGGGGCCUGACCUUUCGCAGAAACCCGUAUCAGGAGCCUGCCUGAGAGAGUGGUGUGUAUUCAGGAAAGAAUACAACCGCUCUCAUUGUCCGCGACCUGCCUGCCAUCCCCCCCCCCCCUCCCCGCAAAAGCUUUGGUCGCCUCCCCGGAGUCUCCAUUUAACGCUGACAACCCAGCGGCGCUCCCUAAUGGCCCAGCGGGUUGCACAAAUUGGCAGUGAGCUGAGAUGCUAUCAGGACAACACCCCAUUGAGUGAGUUCUUGAAACUCCGAAGUGGAGGCCCUUUCUCCGGCCACUGGGCGCCUGUGGCCUUUCCACCAAUCAGAGCCGGAGCUGGCAGUGGCCACCUGUUGUCUCGCUAGAGAACAUCUCUUUAAGUUUCACUAUUAGUAUUUAACAAUGGGGCAUCAUGCAGGAUCUGGCCACCGGAGAGGAGCAGCCUACUGAUCUGGGAUACCAGAAAAGAAAUUCGGUUUGUUUGUUUGUUUUUCUUCCCAGAUAACUCUUAAAAGGAGCCCAAAGCCUGGGAAGCUGGGGUUUUCUUUGCACACUCACGUGCCUCACCUUCUGCUGGUUCUGUCGUUGCAUCUGGAGCAAUCUGAGCUUGAUUAAGAGGAAGCAGGAAAGGAUAAUGCAAGUUACAGAGGGACUAAACCUGAAGUUGUAAUCAGAACUCUGGGAUCACGAGUGCAAAUUGCCUUCACCCUGGAAGCUCCACCAGGGAUAGUGGCCAGAGUGCUACAGUGAGUCUGGCUCUGGGAAGCCCCGAAACUGAAGGGGGCACCUUCUCUCAGAAGGCUCUCGGGAGCUCCAGUGCCCAUCCAGUGCCACCUCCAGGUCACUGUUGAGGGAAAGUCUUUGUCUUAAACUUUCCUUCCCUGAUAGGAUACAGAUGCCGUUGAGAGGGCUGGUGAUUUAGGAUGGACGGUGAGCAGAGUAGUGUGGAGUUUGGCUGGAGGAAGAAGCCUGGUGAUGAGACUCGGCAAUCCAUCUGUAGUUGAGGCUUUUAGAAUGAGAAACUCGGCGGAAGAGGGAAAGGUCACGUGGCAUCGCUGCCGUCUUGGCAGUUUUACCCAGUCUCCAUGCAUUCAGCAGCAAUUUCUUAAGUGUCUACCAUGUGCCAGCCACUGUGUUAGGCCCUUGUGAAUGAGAAAGAAUCCCCACAUAAAACAUGUGGAAGUCCUCAAACAAGACUCUUCAUGCACACACACACACACACACACACACAAGGGUGCUUCAACAAGUUCACGGAAAAUAGAAUGAAAAGGUAAGUUCAUUCUGGGGCACAAAAAAUUUGACAUAGAUUUUUUUAUAAUACACAUUUCCUAUGAACUUGAAGACCUUCUCAUAGGCAUGGAUUUUUUUAAAAAAAAUUACUUCUCUAUUCAUAAAUAAUAAACUAUAAAUAAAAUAAACUUAUCUAUUAAUU